This 457-nucleotide ribosomal RNA is filed under the name Vibrio sp. R-15065. RNAcentral's name for it is "bacterial SSU rRNA". It matches the Rfam family "Bacterial small subunit ribosomal RNA", at positions 30 to 470 of the family's 1533-position model. The record is from RNAcentral. Lineage: Bacteria; Pseudomonadati; Pseudomonadota; Gammaproteobacteria; Vibrionales; Vibrionaceae.
AUUGAACGCUGGCGGCAGGCCUAACACAUGCAAGUCGAGCGGAAACGAGUUMUCUGAACCUUCGGGGAACGWUAACGGCGUCGAGCGGCGGACGGGUGAGUAAUGCCUGGGAAAUUGCCCUGAUGUGGGGGAUAACCAUUGGAAACGAUGGCUAAUACCGCAUAAUAGCUUCGGCUCAAAGAGGGGGACCUUCGGGCCUCUCGCGUCAGGAUAUGCCCAGGUGGGAUUAGCUAGUUGGUGAGGUAAGGGCUCACCAAGGCGACGAUCCCUAGCUGGUCUGAGAGGAUGAUCAGCCACACUGGAACUGAGACACGGUCCAGACUCCUACGGGAGGCAGCAGUGGGGAAUAUUGCACAAUGGGCGCAAGCCUGAUGCAGCCAUGCCGCGUGUGUGAAGAAGGCCUUCGGGUUGUAAAGCACUUUCAGUCGUGAGGAAGGUAGUGUGUUUAAUAGAUGCA